UGGUGAAACGAAAAAAAUGAAUGGCAAAGGGGUCGGCUCUUUGCAAUCGAUGAAAUCCUAAUAAAAUAGAGCUCGAUUGGUUUUUUUUUUUUAAUUACAAGUUUACCCUAGGGUCGAUCCUAGGGGUCGACUCAUGGUAAGAAAAAUAAAAAAAUGAUGGAUAAAUUUCAAAAAAGCUUGAAACUUGAAAGAAGAGUGUCUAUUUGAGAGAUUGAUUAUUUGAAGGAUAGUUUUGAGC
Molecule: long non-coding RNA, 238 nt
Filed under: Elaeis guineensis (African oil palm)
Lineage: Eukaryota; Viridiplantae; Streptophyta; Magnoliopsida; Arecales; Arecaceae
Description: long non-coding RNA (EGUI_LNC064451)
Source: RNAcentral